GCAGUCGACGAUGAAGCCCAGCUUGCUGGGUGGAUUAGUGGCGAACGGGUGAGUAACACGUGAGUAACCUGCCCCUGACUCUGGGAUAAGCCCGGGAAACUGGGUCUAAUACCGGAUAUGACCAUGGGACGCAUGUCUUGUGGUGGAAAGAUUUAUCGGUUGGGGAUGGACUCGCGGCCUAUCAGCUUGUUGGUGAGGUAAUGGCUCACCAAGGCGACGACGGGUAGCCGGCCUGAGAGGGUGACCGGCCACACUGGGACUGAGACACGGCCCAAACUCCUACGGGAGGCAGCAGUGGGGAAUAUUGCACAAUGGGCGCAAGCCUGAUGCAGCGACGCCGCGUGAGGGAUGACGGCCUUCGGGUUGUAAACCUCUUUCAGUAGGGAAGAAGCGAGAGUGACGGUACCUGCAGAAGAAGCGCCGGCUAACUACGUGCCAGCAGCCGCGGUAAUACGUAGGGCGCAAGCGUUAUCCGGAUUUAUUGGGCGUAAAGAGCUCGUAGGCGGUUUGUCGCGUCUGCCGUGAAAGUCCGAGGCUCAACCUCGGAUCUGCGGUGGGUACGGGCAGACUAGAGUGAUGU
RNAcentral lists this ribosomal RNA (580 nucleotides) under Glutamicibacter protophormiae. RNAcentral's name for it is "bacterial SSU rRNA". It matches the Rfam family "Bacterial small subunit ribosomal RNA", at positions 57 to 652 of the family's 1533-position model. Lineage: Bacteria; Bacillati; Actinomycetota; Actinomycetes; Micrococcales; Micrococcaceae. The record is from RNAcentral.